AGAGUUUGAUCCUGGCUCAGGAUGAACGCUAGCGACAGGCUUAACACAUGCAAGUCGAGGGGCAGCGAGGGAGUGGCAACACUUCUGUCGGCGACCGGCGCACGGGUGAGUAACGCGUAUGCAACCUGCCCUUCACAGGGGGAUAACCGGGAGAAAUUCCGACUAAUACCGCAUACGUCCUCCGGGGGCAUCCCCGGGGGAUGAAAGAAUUAUCGGUGAAGGAUGGGCAUGCGUGAUAUUAGGUAGUUGGCGGGGCAAACGGGCCCACCAAGCCCACGAUAUCUAGGGGUUCUGAGAGGAAGGUCCCCCCGACAUUGGUACUGAGACACGGACCAAACUCCUACGGGAGGCA
RNAcentral lists this ribosomal RNA (352 nucleotides) under uncultured bacterium. RNAcentral describes it as "bacterial SSU rRNA". It matches the Rfam family "Bacterial small subunit ribosomal RNA", at positions 8 to 350 of the family's 1533-position model. The record is from RNAcentral.